RNAcentral lists this ribosomal RNA (420 nucleotides) under uncultured archaeon. RNAcentral describes it as "partial 16S ribosomal RNA". It matches the Rfam family "Archaeal small subunit ribosomal RNA", at positions 323 to 746 of the family's 1478-position model. The record is from RNAcentral.
CUACGGGUGGCAGCAGUCGAGGAAAUUUUACAAUGCUCGCAAGAGUGAUAAAAUAAGCCAGAGUGUUUCUCCUAGAGAAACUUUUAUUUGCUGUAAAAAGGCAAAGGAAUAAGGACUGGGCAAGACCGGUGCCAGCCGCCGCGGUAAUACCGGCGGUCCAAGUCGCAUCCACAUUUAUUGAGUCUAAAACAUUCGUAGCUUGUUUUAUAAGUCUCUUGUGAAAUCCUAUAUCUCAAGUAUAGGGCGUGCAAGAGAUACUAUAUUACUAGAGACCGGAAGACGCAAAGAGUAUGGUUGAGGUAGCGGUAAAAUGUGUUAAUCUCAAUUAGACUAACAAUGGCGAAGGCACUUUGCGAGUACAGAUCUGACAGUGAGGGAUGAAGGCUAGGGGCGCAAAAGGGAUUAGAUACCCCUGUAGUC